GGUUUAAUUCUGGUAAAACAUAUUCCACAAGAAUCCUCUUGCACUACAAUAUGGAUUAUCUUUGCUGAGCCACGCCCUUCGAAGGCCUGCUCACCCAGCUUUGACUCUGUCUUUUCCAGGUCUGGUCUCUUUCCGUGGGACACUAAACCUGACUCUUUCUCAAGCUCACUCCUCUCUGAACUGGUGCAGCCGUCAGGACUUGGGAGUAUUCUUAUUCUUAGGAAUACAUGUAGCUUACAUGGCAUAAAUUUUGAACUUUUGGUACUCUGCCCAAAUCUAGUCAUCCCUCCCUACUGCUGACGCUCCACAUUUUUCUAAUAGGGUUCAAGUCUUCCUUCCUUCCUUCCUUCCUUCCUUUCCCUCUCUCUCUCUCUUUUUUUUUUUUUUCUUUGAGACGGAGUCUCCCUCUGUCAUCCAGGCUGGAAUGCAAUAGCGCGAUCUCCACUCACUGCAACCUCCACCUCCCAGGUUCAAGCGAUUCUCCUGCCUCAGCUUCUCAAGUAUUUGGGAUUACAGGCGUGCGCCACCAGACCCAGCUAAUUUUUGUAUUUUUACUAGAGACUGGGUUUCACCAUGCUGGCCAGGCUGGUCUCAAACACCUGACCUCAGAUGACCCACCCGCCUCAGCCUCCCAAAGUGCUAAGAUUACAGGCAUGAGCCACUGCACCUGACCGUUUCUUUCUUUUCUUUCUCUUUUUCUUUCUCUCUUUUGACACAGGGUCUUGUUCUGUGAUUCAGGCUAGAGUUCAGUAGCACAAUCAUGGCUCAAU
RNAcentral lists this long non-coding RNA (770 nucleotides) under Homo sapiens (human). RNAcentral describes it as "HSALNT0104185". The record is from RNAcentral. Lineage: Eukaryota; Metazoa; Chordata; Mammalia; Primates; Hominidae.